Molecule: non-coding RNA, 147 nt
Submitted as: unclassified sequences
Source: Rfam
ACCCUGCCAGCAUGUUCCGCUGAUGCGUCAGCGACAUGCCCAGGUAGCCACGGUCUUCAAGGCUACGGCGCGGUUCCGACCGCGUGACCCAACCAGUUCGCCUCAGCAUCCCCAGCGCGAACGGCCGUCCCUCGGGAUGGUGGAUGC